RNAcentral lists this long non-coding RNA (1410 nucleotides) under Citrus x clementina. RNAcentral's name for it is "Citrus clementina (C. clementina) long non-coding RNA (CCLE_LNC005370)". Lineage: Eukaryota; Viridiplantae; Streptophyta; Magnoliopsida; Sapindales; Rutaceae. The record is from RNAcentral.
AAAAAUUUUUGGCCGGUGGGGGCUUGAGCCCCCACUAGUCAUGUGCUGCAUCCGCCUCUGAUUGUGGAUAUCCAUUAUGGAGCGAUCCAGUUGCCAUCCCUACUCCCAACAUCCUCCGCCGCACCAAGCCGCCAUUCGUCCAUUAUGGAUAACACUUGCUUCUCUUAUUUGUUUUCUUAAUUUGCAAAGGUCUCUAAUCUGUGUAUAAUUUUAAACAUGCCACUAAUAUAUUGGCCUACUUAAUUUAUUUUACUAUCUAUCUACCAACCUGUUUUGCCACUAUGGGAUCUAAAUCAUUCUUUACAUAUAUGAUUAUGCAAUCUGUAGAUUGGUAUCUUGUAAACCUAAGAGUUGUCUCAUAAGGUGAUAUUUUCAAUGAUAUAGUGAUAUACGAUGACUUACUGCUGAACUAUUGGCACCGCUCUAAAAUCCUCUUAAAACCUUCUUUCAAUUAUAAUUCACUUAAUUUCAAAAAUACUUUUUUUUUCAAAAUAAACACCCCUUUCAUUUUAAAUCAUUCACACUCUUUGAAAAACUCAAAAACACUAAUUUUUCCAGAAAAUAUAAUAAUCAAUAUGAAUAAAUAAGAGAAAAAAAAAGUUACUACAGAGAUUUAAAAAAGUAAAUAUGGAUCUCAUAUAAGUGAAGUUAAUUCUAUUGGAAUUUAUCCUUCAAUGUCAUUAUAACAUAAUAAGAGUUUUAUGAAAUUAAUAAAAGGGUGCCAAUAGUCCCACUCUUUUAUUUCUAUAGUGUCAAUAAAGUCUCAGCAUAAUUUUAUUAUUGAUAUUAAUUUGAUGGGUUUGGGAUAGGUGCUGUGAAACGAGUCAGGUUGAAAUCGUUAAUACAAUUGAGUUUCAUGUGAUUUAUUUGAUUGAAUCCAUCCAUGAAAGGAGGAAUUUUAAUGGAUUACAAUAAUUUAAUUGAAUCCAUCCAUUGAGUUUCAGCUAUUUUAAUGGAUUACAAUAAUUUAAAUACUCACCCAUUAACUGACAGUUUUUGAGUUUGCAAUUGAUGUUUGAAUAUACUGAUUUGGUCCCUUCUCACAAGUUGUCCAUUCUCACAAAAAAAUUGGAAAUUAUCAGCCAUAUACUCUUAAAUAACACUCGUAUCAAACGUGUGUGAACACUUUUCAAGUGUAUCACUCGUAUACCCUAAGUUGACAAAAUACUUCUGCCAUCCACCAAUCCGUUAACUUUCGUUUGCAAGCGCUGACAUCAUAAGGGUAAUAUAGUCUUUUAAGAUGAAUGAAACUUUGGCUAACAAAAAUGACAUGUCAUCCCAUUUAUCAGAUAAUUGUUAAUAAUUGCUAAAAAAAAACUUUACAACCGAAUCUACUCCUCUAAAAUUUAACCUAAAUUUUUGAAGAUCUACUCCUCCAAGCUCCAAUUGGAAUUUUUUAUGGUAUAAUAU